GGACGACGACGAAGUUCAGGUUGUGGAGGUCACGGUGUGCAGUUCUUCUUCACCAACGAAGAAACGUAAACGGGAAGAGUCACCACCAAAGGCUGUAGUCACUAUUAAUAAAGAUGACAGCAUUCUCCAGAAAGUAGCUCAGCUAAAAAGGAGGCUUGAAUUUUGUGACAAAGAGAAACAAGAACUUUCAAAAAGGUUCAAAGAACUUGAGGAACAGCUAAC
Molecule: long non-coding RNA, 222 nt
Organism: Stylophora pistillata
Lineage: Eukaryota; Metazoa; Cnidaria; Anthozoa; Scleractinia; Pocilloporidae
Source: RefSeq, a predicted model, not a curated record